This 450-nucleotide long non-coding RNA is filed under the name Setaria viridis. RNAcentral's name for it is "long non-coding RNA (SVIR_LNC001120)". The record is from RNAcentral. Lineage: Eukaryota; Viridiplantae; Streptophyta; Magnoliopsida; Poales; Poaceae.
GCGACCGAUGCAUUAGGUCUUUUCUCUCUCACGAUAAAAUUUUCUGUUGCUAUGCCAAUUCAGUAAGAAGGAACUUUUCUUAUCGUUUUCCUUUUUGUCACUCCGUCCUUUUCUUUGUUGCACGAAGAGUUAUGCCGUUACAAUUUGCACAUGGCAGCAAGGUGCUAGCCAAGCCGAUGAUUAGCAUAACAGCUUUUACGCUAAUCGUGAAAAGGAGGUUGCUUUUACCCCCCUCAUCUUUAUUUUGGACACACGUAGCUUUUUCCUACCACCGGGGGCCAAAAAGGAGGGAAUAUUUUCGUUGCCCAUCCACCCCUAUCAUGCACGAAAUCAUGGCAUAUGACGCUUUUGCGCGAUCCAUCUCGUCUCUCCCCCAACUAAUCAAGCUCUCUUUGAGCACCUUUCCUUUGCUUUUGCCCGUCUCUCUCAUCAUCAUCAUCAUCAUCAUCA